UAACUGCCGCGGUGGCGGCACCAUCUACCGAAAGCGAAUCAAAACAAAAACACGGUCUGCUACGGGUAUUCGAAAGGUCGUUCGGAAGGGCUCUCUGUUCGGUCAGUAAAAAAGCCCUUUACUGAACCAGCCUGGCAUAUUGCAAGGGUGUGUUGAAGAGCCAGGUUAUAACGCUAUUUGUUUUGAAUAGGAACUGGGUUGUAUUGGAAAGUCAGUGGAUUUUUUUGAUUAAUCAAAGCCCAGCACGAGCCAUAUGGCCACUAUGUCGUUUAUCGUUAAACGGCACGGAUCGCUCCGGUAUCUAAAACGGGUUUUGCCGGCAUUCAACAGUGGAGCCUCCGGACUUCGCACCCCCAGCGGACUAAACCGAUUAAAUCCUUGGCGAGCGCUAAGCUCCAUGCCUCAACCUCAGCCGGAGUCAGAAAGUCAACUGUAUGAUAAUGAUUCUAAUGAGCCAUCAGUAGUCUAUAUCGCUCGGAAACGGACUCUCAUAACGGAGCAGGAACAUGCUAGACACAAAAAGAGAGAAAAUGUUCUAGAAUUAUCUGCUAGAGAUAAUGGACAGGCGAACCCUAACGAGCAGUACUUUAUCAGGACACAUGAGUUCAAACCCGCCGCUCAACAUUUAUUGUCUCUGAGCAAAAUCAAACUUACAGGUCUGGUGGUUAUGACAACGAUGGCUGGAUAUGCAAUGGCGCCAGCGGCUUUUAGUGGUUCUACACUGUUCUAUGCAGCGCUCGGAACCGCGUUAAUGUCGGGAUCAGCAAACGCGAUUAAUCAAUUCCUUGAAAUCCCGUAUGACUCGCAAAUGAAUCGAACCAAAAAUCGCGUCCUCGUCCGAGGUUAUAUGAGUCCCCUAGGCGCCGUGACCUUUGCAGUUGUAUCGGGUUGCGCCGGAAUUACCACCCUCUACCUAGGGUGCGGCGCAUGGACCGCAGGCCUUGGCGCCCUUAACCUGUUUCUAUACACGUCAAUGUACACACCACUCAAGCGAAGGCAUAUUGUCAACACGUGGGUGGGAAGUGUUGUUGGAGCAAUCCCUCCGGUAAUGGGAUGGACAGCUGCUACAGGGACGCUGGAUGCAGGUUUUUCUAAGCUUAGUGCAGUAUUAGGCUUAUCGUGCAGUUGUCCGUUGUGCUACCGACGGUUGCUUCUAUCUAUGCCUGGCAAAUGUUGUCCUGCACGGGUUAUCGUCAGUUUAGGAGCGUAUCGAGGAAAAACUCAACAAAGUCAGCACCGGCGGUGGUUACGGCCAGCCUCCUAUGGUAGCCAGCUAUACGCUAACAGAAACAGUAUAGCUCGAUCCUCGGCACUAUUACUACCAGAACAAUAACUGCAACAUUAUAUUUGUACAACUUUUACUGCGGUGACAGUUUAUUACGUAAGCAGUCUCCGCUGGUGAUCGGUGACGACUGCUAUGCGUGACGAAGCAUUAUGCAAUAAAACUUGUUUCUUAUUCGCACACAUACAUACAAAUACUGGAUUGUUAUCUGGACUUAAAAUGGGACCACAAAUGCAAAUAGAAGACCUCGAAACAGUGAAAGGGAAGCAGGCCCUGCCGAGAGGGUGGCUCUGACGUCAUAAGCAGCAGUAGAAGUUACCACAGUGGCGGCGCCAGCUUCAGUAGCAGCCCUAGCCGCAGAUUCAGGUACGUGCACACGGUUACGGCAGCAGACACGACGUAAAAGGAUAUUUAUGUGAUGUAAACAUCGGGGAAUUUGAGUCUGCUAACGCGGCUGUUGCUAGCGCUGUUGACUUUGUCUGCGCCCAUGUUGGAAACCGUACGCGUUCAUCGUCGGCGUCGUUCACGUUUUAUGACGAUUGUGUCCGAGUGAGCGAUUGAAGAUGCCCCUGUGAUGGCUGAUGAUGCCCUUGUCACGGUCACUAGCACGUAAACUAGUCUUCAAAUUAAUUUUUCCGCUACACUGUCAUAAAUUAAUGCCAUUAAAAUGAGUGCAAAAAACGUUCAUACACAAGAUCUGUACUACCCUUUUCCUUGGUACCAACCAAAAUUCUCUGUCCGUAAACACUACGCCGUGCAAUUUCCGAGAGCUAACUUCACUUCUCUGAAGUAUCGUUCUUAAGGCCACGGUGGCGAUGCAGUUACUAGUCGAUGCAUCCGCCUUAAAAGAGCUUUGCUUCGUUGUACGCUAAAGCCAGCAAGGCGAACUACCGAUGAUGACUACUAAAGAAAUCGGUAGUGACCUUAUCAUUCCAAUUUUCUAAUAUCCAAAAACUUCGCUUUCUGACGAUGCCUACUGAUCUACCAGUAAUGUUUCGACCGGGGAUGCUUUGCCGCAGAAAAUUUGCCAAGCAAUAUUCGCCCUUCCUGCAUAUAGCCGGAAUAACGAUGCCAGCAUACGAGAAUUCACCAUGUACAUGGUCGUUAUGUUAUUUGUAGGAAGUUCAUAGGUUGAUUCGUCACCAUCGCGAUUCGAAAGCUAGUACAUUUACAAUGCGAAUGUGUGUGAAACAAAACGGCUAUUAAGCCCAACAAAAGCUUAGUAAGGCCAUGGGGGGUAUGGGGUUGAAGAUAAAGCCCUUGUUGUCAUGUGGGAUGCCUGGAAAGUGUCUCCUUAACGAAACUGAGACAUAACAGCAUAUAUAGUAAAAAUAAUAGUAUUCAUCAUUUGAACAGACAAUAAAUGUACAAUUUCAUGGUUAGGACUAACUAAAAAAAAGACGAGACAAACGAAUAAAGGUUCCAUACUUAUUAUGCAUGCUCAGCUCAAUGAGUCCAGAUUGCGCUGUUGGCUGUCCGCUAAGCAAAGCAAUUUUCAGACAAACUAUAAUGGAAAAGUAUAGACAGUAAUUUAUUGCCUAUGCUAAUUUUUGAAGCAAUUGGCAAUUCUACCACGUUUAGUUUUACCUAACUUCUAACGCCGACGAUAUAUGUCCUUGAAAUGCUUUCUACUGCCAGUAAGUUACUUGUCAAGAACAGAGGUAAAUAUUUGCCUCGACGCCGACUAGCUCUUUCAAUCAAUUUUAGGCUUCAGCGAUUCUGGUACGAACUAAUUACAUCAAUAUUAAUAGACUGCUUUCAGGUCAUGAAAAUGCAGGCAAAUUCCGCGUUGUCGAUUGGGAUCGGCUAAUCUCUGAUAUUCUGUUUAUUAGUGUGAUAUUCCAUAAGUUUUUUACGAAAAUGUUCUUCCUUAUUGAUUCGGUAUUUUCAGCUUUUACGGCAGUCCUCAAUAAUCUGUGAGAGGGCCAAAUGGUUUCUACUAUUCGAAUGAUCUUCAUCACUAUAUAGGUGCUUUCCGUGGCUAAUUUUGUCUUAGCGCACCCACAUGCACACACAAACAUAUAUAUGAUAUGUCCGUCAUAUGCUCAAUAUAUAUACGAAGGACGUAUCGGCCAUAUAGAGACACAUAAAGAACUGCAUGCCAUUGUUGGAAUUUUAAUGGAUCACAAGUCCAUCCUCAAGUAGAGGACGGCUAUAAAACGGCGUAAAUGGUACUGUUUAAAUAUACCGCUAAAUUAUUUGGUCACUGCUUUUGAAAUCGUCAACUCAAACCAUGCGACUGCAGUUCCUUUCUAAGCGGCGAGACAUUUUCGGCGACCUUUCAUCGCAUUAUAAUGUCGCUACGUCGUUGUAUUGGUCGUAAUCUGCCUUGUUAAGUCGGGAUUAAGUCGGGGUAAGACGUUGUUUUUGCGCCAGUUUUUUACCUGUCGAUUUUGCUAUAACCUUGAUAAUAGGUUAGAUUGGUGGUUAAAGCCUAGGCAAGCUGAUCGUAGCUAGUCUGUCCAGUGUUUCAUGCCACUCCUAUUUAUCGAACCGUAUCUUUGCUGCGGUAGGCAGUAAAAUGGACGCCAAUUAAUCCCUACCAAAUCCCUUGACCACUCUACCGUUGGUUUCCUUCUGUAGGUCAGUGGCGACCUUUCAGUGUGUUUCUCUUAGCCUAGCAUCUGCUGCUAGUGUCAGUGCCUUAAUUUACGACUGGCAUUUCCUAUGCUAGGCACCACAGUAAGAAUAACGUGUAUUUAUUACAACACAAACUCAUCGUGAACGCCGUUCGCGUUAGUGCCUAUUUACGAUUGUGACAUUGACAUGACACUCUCUAAUAGGCAUAGAUUGGCUUGUUUUCGUUGUUUGCAAAGACGGCGCGCUGUUACUCGGCGUCUUGCUAUAUUCAUGGCA
Varroa destructor (honeybee mite) is the source of this 4138-nucleotide non-coding RNA. The record is from RefSeq and is a predicted model, not a curated record. Lineage: Eukaryota; Metazoa; Arthropoda; Arachnida; Mesostigmata; Varroidae.